UUUAAUUGAAGAGUUUGAUCAUGGCUCAGAUUGAACGCUGGCGGCAGGCUUAACACAUGCAAGUCGAGCGGUAGCAC
RNAcentral lists this ribosomal RNA (77 nucleotides) under Serratia marcescens. RNAcentral's name for it is "partial 16S ribosomal RNA". It matches the Rfam family "Bacterial small subunit ribosomal RNA", at positions 1 to 75 of the family's 1533-position model. Lineage: Bacteria; Pseudomonadati; Pseudomonadota; Gammaproteobacteria; Enterobacterales; Yersiniaceae. The record is from RNAcentral.